CCUACGGGAGGCAGCAGUGGGGAAUAUUGCACAAUGGGGGAAACCCUGAUGCAGCGACGCCGCGUGAAGGAAGAAGUAUUUCGGUAUGUAAACUUCUAUCAGCAGGGAAGCAAGUGACGGUACCUGCCUAAGACGCCCCGGCUAACUACGUGCCAGCAGCCGCGGUAAUACGUAGGGGGCAAGCGUUAUCCGGAUUGACUGGGUGUAAAGGGAGCGUAGGCGGUUUAGCAAGUCAGAAGUGAAAGCCCGGGGCUCAACUCCGGGACUGCUGUUGAAACUGUUGAACUAGAGUGCAGGAGAGGUAAGCGGAAUUCCUAGUGUAGCGGUGAAAUGCGUAGAUAUUAGGAAGAACACCAGUGGCGAAGGCGGCUUACUGGACUGUAAAUGACGCUGAGGCUCGAAAGCGUGGGGAGCAAACAGGAUUAGAUACCCUUGUAGUC
Molecule: ribosomal RNA, 440 nt
Filed under: uncultured bacterium
Lineage: Bacteria
Description: partial 16S ribosomal RNA
Rfam family: Bacterial small subunit ribosomal RNA
Source: RNAcentral